Long non-coding RNA from Sebastes umbrosus (honeycomb rockfish), 150 nucleotides. RefSeq lists it as uncharacterized. NCBI's taxonomy places the organism in Eukaryota, Metazoa, Chordata, Actinopteri, Perciformes, Sebastidae. The record is from RefSeq and is a predicted model, not a curated record. The transcript has 3 exons.
AGUGUGUCAGUUAAAAAGAGGUGCACCACUGCGGGACAGGGGGGGAAGUGGAUGGGACAGGAUGUGUGUGGUGCAGUAUACGAGCAUCCCCUCCGCUCAGAUCGCAGCUCAUUUGUCAAGUUGCCUGCAGACUUGAAUGGUGCAUUGCUG